This 1008-nucleotide long non-coding RNA is filed under the name Sus scrofa (pig). Its description in RNAcentral is "lncRNA (ENSSSCG00005015854.1)". Lineage: Eukaryota; Metazoa; Chordata; Mammalia; Artiodactyla; Suidae. The record is from RNAcentral.
CACCACCUCUGGGCUUUCUGAGAUUCUUCCUGGCAAAGUUAAUCUCUUCUGCUGGACUCCUUUAACAGGUUGUUUCCUCAUCCACUCUAGUAUUCUCCACCUUGGACCGCCACCAUUUGUUAGCCUACUUCCUGAUAAAAAAAAAUUAAUAAUUAACGUUUAUGAAACAAUCACCAUCUUCCAGGAACUGUGCUAGGCUUUGUACAUAGAUUGUCUCCUUUGAUCCUCACCAAAACCCAGGUACUGUUGUAAUUCUCAUUUUCAACUAGGAAACUAUGGCUGAGAAAGUGAAAGACUGGUUCAAGGUCCCACAGCUAGAGACUACAGGCAAACUCAGAAUGAGAAUCAGUUCUGGUGGCCUCCAAAACCUGGACUCUUUGUCCACAUGCUUAAAAAACCUCUCCCCUAAACUUCUGGCUCCUGGAAACCUGAACCCCUUCGUGCCCACUUUCCUAACCCAGCAUCUAGACCAGCGCUCACCUAGGACUAAGUGCCUGAGGCAGGCAGAAGUUCCCGGUGUCAGGGAUAAAACCCAGGCCAUAGCAGUGACCCAAGAGCUGCUGCAGUGACAACGCCGGAUCCUUAACCUGCUAAUAUGUUUUCUUUAAAAAAAAAAUUAGAAAAAAUAAAAAUAAAUUUAAAAAAAAUUAGAGGGGUGUUCCUGUCGUGAUGCAGUGGAAACCAAUCCAACUAGGAACUAUGAGGUUUCGGGUUCAAUCCCUGGCCUCGCUCAGUGGGUUAAGGAUCCAGUGUUGCCAUGAGCUGUGGUGUAGGUCGCAGACACGGCUCAGAUCUGUCGUUGCUGUGGCUAUGGCAUAGGGUGGCAGCUACAGCUCUGAUUCAACCCUUGGCCUGGAACCUCCAUAUGCUAUGGGUGCAGCCUUAAAAAAACAAAAAAUGAAAACAAAAAAAUACAAUAAAAAUCAGAGUUCUCUUGUGGCACACAGCAGUUCUUCUGCUUGCUGCAACUGUGGCCAAAAAAAAAAAAAAAAAAAAAAAAAAAAAAAA